GCCGGGGUGGCGGAGCGGUUUCACGCGGCGGGCUGCAGACCCGCAGAUCCCGGGUUCGAAUCCCGGCCCCGGCU
RNAcentral lists this transfer RNA (74 nucleotides) under Candidatus Aenigmatarchaeota archaeon. Its description in RNAcentral is "tRNA-Cys". It matches the Rfam family "tRNA". From Rfam's summary of the family: Transfer RNA (tRNA) molecules are approximately 80 nucleotides in length. Their secondary structure includes four short double-helical elements and three loops (D, anti-codon, and T loops). Lineage: Archaea; Nanobdellati; Candidatus Aenigmatarchaeota. The record is from RNAcentral.